UCAAGUGAAUCUGAGUUUAGUGGCGGACGGGUGAGUAACGCGUGAGGAACCUGCCUUGGAGUGGGGAAUAACAGUUGGAAACGACUGCUAAUACCGCAUGAUGCGAUUGUCUCGCAUGGGACUGAUCGCCAAAGAUUUAUCGCUUCAAGAUGGCCUCGCGUCUGAUUAGCUAGUUGGCGGGGUAACGGCCCACCAAGGCGACGAUCAGUAGCCGGACUGAGAGGUUGAACGGCCACAUUGGGACUGAGAUACGGCCCAGACUCC
RNAcentral lists this ribosomal RNA (264 nucleotides) under uncultured Oscillospiraceae bacterium. RNAcentral describes it as "partial 16S ribosomal RNA". It matches the Rfam family "Bacterial small subunit ribosomal RNA", at positions 77 to 339 of the family's 1533-position model. Lineage: Bacteria; Bacillati; Bacillota; Clostridia; Eubacteriales; Oscillospiraceae. The record is from RNAcentral.